RNAcentral lists this non-coding RNA (204 nucleotides) under Acidobacteriota bacterium. Its description in RNAcentral is "Acidobacteria bacterium 6S RNA". It matches the Rfam family "6S / SsrS RNA". From Rfam's summary of the family: E. coli 6S RNA was the first non coding RNA to be sequenced, but its function was unknown until recently. It consists of 184 nucleotides that fold into an extended hairpin structure with a large single-stranded internal bulge. Lineage: Bacteria; Pseudomonadati; Acidobacteriota. The record is from RNAcentral.
CACUUUCUGAGUGGUUCGUGCUGAGGCAAUAAACAUAUUGAGCCAACAUUUGAAUAUACGGGAGGCCGAUGCUGUCUUUCGGUGCAGUCUUUCGAGGUUAAAGAAUGCCAAAGGAAGCGGCUUUGAUAUCUUCGGAUAGAAGGCCACCCACCUGUUGAAAACAGGUUCAAUUCACUUGUCCUCACACGGCCGUUUCGGUUGACU